GACGAACGCUGGCGGCGUGCUUAACACAUGCAAGUCGAACGGAAAGUCCCUGCUUUUGUGUGGUGCUAGAGUGGCGAACGGGUGAGUAACACGUGAGUAACCUGCCCUCGACUUCGGGAUACCUUCAGGAAGCUGGGACUAAUACCGGAUAGGUGCUCCUGCUGCAUGAUGGGGGUUACAACGUUUCGACGGUGUGAGAUGGACUCACGGUGCAUCAGCUAGUUGGUAGGGUGGUGGGUUACCAAGGCUGUGACGGGUAGCCGAACGGAGAGGUUGAUGGGCGACAUGGGGACGGGGACACGGACAAAACUCCUACGGGAGGCAGCAGUAGGGAAUCUUAGACAAUGGGCGAAAGCCUGAUGGAGCAGCGCGACGUGGGUGAAGAAGGUCUUCGGAGCGUAAAACCCGGUUGUGAGAGAAGAAAGGGCGUGGGAGUAACUGUUGACGGUUCGACGGUAACUAACAAGAAAGCAACGGCUAACUACGUG
This 488-nucleotide ribosomal RNA is filed under the name uncultured bacterium. RNAcentral's name for it is "partial 16S ribosomal RNA". It matches the Rfam family "Bacterial small subunit ribosomal RNA", at positions 28 to 507 of the family's 1533-position model. The record is from RNAcentral.